This 253-nucleotide ribosomal RNA is filed under the name uncultured bacterium. Its description in RNAcentral is "partial 16S ribosomal RNA". It matches the Rfam family "Bacterial small subunit ribosomal RNA", at positions 524 to 776 of the family's 1533-position model. The record is from RNAcentral.
UACGUAGGGUGCGAGCGUUGUCUGGAAUUAUUGGGCGUAAAGAGCUUGUAGGCGGUCUGUCGCGUCUGCUGUGAAAAUCCGGGGCUCAACCCCGGACUUGCAGUGGGUACGGGCAGACUAGAGUGUGGUAGGGGAGACUGGAAUUCCUGGUGUAGCGGUGAAAUGCGCAGAUAUCAGGAGGAACACCGAUGGCGAAGGCAGGUCUCUGGGCCACUACUGACGCUGAGAAGCGAAAGCAUGGGGAGCGAACAGG